CUUUCAUCGAGUUCUCCAUCCCAGCUGGCAGCAGAGGCAUCCGAGUUUAUGAUGAGAUGGGAACUAAUGUGGAUGCAGACGUCUCUGAAGAAGUACCACAGCAACCCAACGCUGGUGUAUUUACUAUCAGCUCUGACAACGACUUAGAUUCUAAGGGGACAACCUCUUCCAGCUAUUCCCAGUCCACCAGGCCACUGCUUGAUGUCGUAACCAAGUCAGCACUUUGGUUGAAUCUGCACUGACCAAGAAACCUGGUGGAAGUGAUGUCAUCAAGGCGAAGAAAGCUCUGACUCACUCCUCGCAGCAACAGAUGGUUAAAGGAUAAUGUCAGUAUUUUGAAACCUGGGCCCCACUUUCACUUAUUUUGGUGUUGAAAUGACUCGUAGGUACAGAAAGUCUUAAAUCAGUGCAGUAGGGCUGCAGCUAAUGAUGAUUUGAGUAUUCAAAGCUUCGACAGAUUAUUUCAACGAUUUAGCGAUGCGUCGUUUAACAAGUACUUUGCUUGGCGGCGGCGGUGUUGUGGCGUUCACACUACGUGACUGAUUGGUGACAGGGAGUCACAAACACUACAAGAGCUGUUGGCUGUGUCACCUGACGCUGGUCUCCAAACCACGUUUUGUCAAGAAAACACGGGAAAUGUGAAACGGGAAAUGAGCGAUCCUGCUCACGAAACAGCUGUUGUUUGUUAUUAUAAAGAUGGGGAUUAUAAAGACAAAGGAUGGAUUAGCACACGCAGGUAGCAGGGAUUGUCUGAGCUACAGAGAGAGCUGCAGGUGAGUUAAAAGGUGCAGCUCCCCGACUCAACUCGUGACUGUGAGGUUAAAACUCGCAGCCCAAAAAGGAGAACAACAAACACACGUGUGCACAUUUUCAGCUGAGGACUGCGGCUUACUUUGGCUAGCCUUCAACUCAACAAUUAGUCAUGACUUCAGUUAAAUGUUAAAGUUGCUGUUACCGUUACUUUGUCUGUGGUCCGCUGGCAGAACACCGGCUUCUUUCUGGUCAGGUACCGUCGUUGCUGAGGCGACAUCAAUUUUGUUUGUGGGUGGACGGACAUUACAGAGUUGUUUUUUUUUCUUUAGCUUGAAAUAAUCCCAUACUUUGGACCCUUUCUUUUUUGUCCCUCGCUGUUUUCGCUCUCUUCCCCCUCUUUGCAAACAGCUCCAUCAUAAUCACGUCGUGUUUACAGCGUAAGCGCUAUGUGCAACAGUAACAAAUGUCCCUGCGAAACACUGUUCUGUAUAGUUGCAUGGAUUAAACGAAGCAUUGAUGCAAAGAAUUUGUGUCGAAGCAUUUAAUGAAUCGAUUUUAUCGAUUUAAUCGUUUCAGCCCUACAGUACAGUAUAAUAGUGAGUGCUAAGAGAGCUGUCGCACUGAAACAGAACUAAAAAAUAAACCUUGAGGUAAAAUGUUUUUAUUUUUAAGAAAUUGUAUGGAUUACAUGGAUGUAUGGUGGUUGUUGGUUUUUCCCCCUGCACACAUUAAAAGUUUUACUUGUUUUAA
This is a long non-coding RNA of Micropterus dolomieu (smallmouth bass), 1503 nucleotides long. RefSeq lists it as uncharacterized. The transcript is spliced from 3 exons. The record is from RefSeq and is a predicted model, not a curated record. Lineage: Eukaryota; Metazoa; Chordata; Actinopteri; Centrarchiformes; Centrarchidae.